RNAcentral lists this ribosomal RNA (709 nucleotides) under Unio crassus. RNAcentral's name for it is "partial 16S ribosomal RNA". The record is from RNAcentral. Lineage: Eukaryota; Metazoa; Mollusca; Bivalvia; Unionida; Unionidae.
GCCUAUAUAACAAAACCAUAAACUUUACUAAUUAAAGAAAAAUUUCAUAAUAUAUAGUAUUUUUUAAAAAAUGUGAUUUAACUUAUAACCGCAAGGAUUAAUACUUUAGGCCUUUAAAGAACUGAUAACCCCACAUCCCUUUUGCAUCAUGGAGAAGCAACAUAAAUAUAAUAAAUUAGGCUCCCGAAUGAUUAUGAGCUACUAACCCUUAAAAAUCAAUGUUUCAUAAUUGAUAAAGUAACUUUUAGUAGAAGUAAUAAGCCUUUCAUAUAAUCAUAUAGCUGGUUUUUCUUUAAAAGCAUCAAAGUGCUGACUUGUAGUAUUACACAUUAUGUUUUUAUGACUACAAAGUUUAAUUUAUUGAGGAUAAGCUCAAUAAAAACUCAAAAAUACUUUAUCACUUAACUUUCCAAGUAGGCUUAAAAGCAGCCAUCUAAUAACGUUUUAGUUACUAAUUCCAAACACUACUUAAUAUUCAUAUAUUAUUAUUUUAGUAUUUAAAGAAACUUAACACAAAACUUUUCAUGUUAAUAAACAGGCAUUCUAUUAGUAUUAACGUAGUUAUUAUUUCAUGACACUUAAAAAAUUUUGAAUCACAAUAAUUACUCUACUCACAAAAUUACAUAAAGCGAACUCGGCAAAUAAAUUCCCUGCCUGUUUACCAAAAACAUCGUCUUUUGAGUUCUUUUAUAAAAGAUAAUGCCUGCCC